Molecule: ribosomal RNA, 253 nt
Filed under: uncultured bacterium
Lineage: Bacteria
Description: partial 16S ribosomal RNA
Rfam family: Bacterial small subunit ribosomal RNA
Source: RNAcentral
UACGUAGGGUGCAAGCGUUGUCCGGAAUUAUUGGGCGUAAAGAGCUCGUAGGCGGUCUGUCGCGUCUGCUGUGAAAACCCGCGGCUCAACGGCGGGCUUGCAGUCGAUACGGGCAGGCUGGAGUUCGGUAGGGGAGACUGGAAUUCCUGGUGUAGCGGUGGAAUGCGCAGAUAUCAGGAGGAACACCGGUGGCGAAGGCGGGUCUCUGGGCAGUAACUGACGCUGAGGAGCGAAAGCGUGGGGAGCGAACAGG